CUCAGACUUUAACGAUGAAUGACAGGACA
This 29-nucleotide non-coding RNA is filed under the name Cricetulus griseus (Chinese hamster). Lineage: Eukaryota; Metazoa; Chordata; Mammalia; Rodentia; Cricetidae. The record is from RNAcentral.